GACGAACGCUGGCGGCGUGCUUAACACAUGCAAGUCGAGCGGUAAGGCCCUUUCGGGGGUACGACGAGCGGCGAACGGGUGAGUAACACGUGGGUGACCUGCCCUUAGCUCUGGGAUAAGCCUGGGAAACUGGGUCUAAUACCGGGAUAUGACUCCAUGACGCAUGUUGUGGGGUGGAAAGCCUUGUGCGGCUAGGGAUGGGCCCGCGGCCUAUCAGCUUGUUGGUGGGGUGAUGGCCUACCAAGGCGACGACGGGUAGCCGGCCUGAGAGGGCGACCGGCCACACUGGGACUGAGACACGGCCCAGACUCCUACGGGAGGCAGCAGUGGGGAAUCUUGCGCAAUGGGCGAAAGCCUGACGCAGCGACGCCGCGUGAGGGAU
Molecule: ribosomal RNA, 382 nt
Filed under: uncultured bacterium
Lineage: Bacteria
Description: bacterial SSU rRNA
Rfam family: Bacterial small subunit ribosomal RNA
Source: RNAcentral